This 936-nucleotide ribosomal RNA is filed under the name uncultured bacterium. Its description in RNAcentral is "bacterial SSU rRNA". It matches the Rfam family "Bacterial small subunit ribosomal RNA", at positions 1 to 921 of the family's 1533-position model. The record is from RNAcentral.
UAGAGUUUGAUCCUGGCUCAGGAUGAACGCUGGCGGCGUGCCUAAUACAUGCAAGUCGAACGCACAGCGAAAGGUGCUUGCACCUUUCAAGUGAGUGGCGAACGGGUGAGUAACACGUGGAUAACCUACCUCAAGGUUGGGGAUAACAUUUGGAAACAGAUGCUAAUACCGAAUAAAACUUAGUAUCGCAUGAUACCAGGUUAAAAGGCGCUACGGCGUCACCUAGAGAUGGAUCCGCGGUGCAUUAGUUAGUUGGUGGGGUAAAGGCUUACCAAGACAAUGAUGCAUAGCCGAGUUGAGAGACUGAUCGGCCACAUUGGGACUGAGACACGGCCCAAACUCCUACGGGAGGCUGCAGUAGGGAAUCUUCCACAAUGGGCGAAAGCCUGAUGGAGCAACGCCGCGUGUGUGAUGAAGGCUUUCGGGUCGUAAAGCACUGUUGUAUGGGAAGAACAGCUAGAGUAGGGAAUGACUUUAGUUUGACGGUACCAUACCAGAAAGGGACGGCUAAAUACGUGCCAGCAGCCGCGGUAAUACGUAUGUCCCGAGCGUUAUCCGGAUUUAUUGGGCGUAAAGCGAGCGCAGACGGUUAAUUAAGUCUGAUGUGAAAGCCCGGAGCUCAACUCCGGAAAGGCAUUGGAAACUGGUUAACUUGAGUGCAGUAGAGGUAAGUGGAACUCCAUGUGUAGCGGUGGAAUGCGUAGAUAUAUGGAAGAACACCAGCGGCGAAGGCGGCUUACUGGACUGUAACUGACGUUGAGGCUCGAAAGUGUGGGUAGCAAACAGGAUUAGAUACCCUGGUAGUCCACACCGUAAACGAUGAACACUAGGUGUUAGGAGGUUUCCGCCUCUUAGUGCCGAAGCUAACGCAUUAAGUGUUCCGCCUGGGGGAGUACGACCGCAAGGGUUGAAACUCAAAGGGAAUUGACGGGGGAC